UGCCCUAGUAACGGCGAGUGAAGCGGCAACAGCUCAAAUUUGAAAGCUGGCCUUCGGGUCCGCAUUGUAAUUUGUAGAGGAUGCUUUGGGGCAGCCGCCUGUCUAAGUUCCUUGGAACAGGACGUCAUAGAGGGUGAGAAUCCCGUAUGUGACAGGACAUGGCACCCUAUGUAAAGCUCCUUCGACGAGUCGAGUUGUUUGGGAAUGCAGCUCUAAAUGGGAGGUAAAUUUCUUCUAAAGCUAAAUACCGGCGAGAGACCGAUAGCGCACAAGUAGAGUGAUCGAAAGAUGAAAAGCACUUUGGAAAGAGAGUUAAAAAGCACGUGAAAUUGUUGAAAGGGAAGCGCUUGCAAUCAGACUUGUUUUGACUGUUCGGCCGGUCUUCUGACCGGUUUACUCAGUCUGGACAGGCCAGCAUCAGUUUUGGCGGCCGGAUAAAGGCUCAGGGAAUGUGGCUCUCACUUCGGUGGGAGUGUUAUAGCCCUGGGUGUAAUACGGCCAGCCGGGACUGAGGUCCGCGCUUCGGCUAGGAUGCUGGCGUAAUGGUUGUAAGCGACCCGUCUUGAA
RNAcentral lists this ribosomal RNA (567 nucleotides) under Aureobasidium thailandense. RNAcentral's name for it is "partial large subunit ribosomal RNA". It matches the Rfam family "Eukaryotic large subunit ribosomal RNA", at positions 76 to 658 of the family's 3401-position model. The record is from RNAcentral. Lineage: Eukaryota; Fungi; Ascomycota; Dothideomycetes; Dothideales; Saccotheciaceae.